RNAcentral lists this ribosomal RNA (465 nucleotides) under uncultured bacterium. RNAcentral describes it as "partial 16S ribosomal RNA". It matches the Rfam family "Bacterial small subunit ribosomal RNA", at positions 28 to 507 of the family's 1533-position model. The record is from RNAcentral.
GACGAACGCUGGCGGCGUGCUUAACACAUGCAAGUCGAACGGAAAGGCCCCUUUGGGGGUCCUCGAGUGGCGAACGGGUGAGUAACACGUGAGUAACCUGCCCUUGACUUCGGGAUAACUUCAGGAAACUGGGGCUAAUACCGGAUAGGAAUCCUUGCUGCAUGGUGGGGGUUGGAAAGCUUCGGCGGUUUUGGAUGGACUCGCGGCUUAUCAGCUUGUUGGUGGGGUAGUGGCUUACCAAGGCUUUGACGGGUAGCCGGCCUGAGAGGGCGACCGGCCACAUUGGGACUGAGAUACGGCCCAGACACCUACGGGAGGCAGCAGUGGGGAAGAUUGCACAAUGGGCGGAAGCCUGAUGCAGCAACGCCGCGUGCGGGAUGACGGCCUUCGGGUUGUAAACCGCUUUCAGCAGGGGCGAAGCUUGUGGUGACGGUACCUGCAGAAGAAGCACCGGCUAACUACGUG